This 301-nucleotide ribosomal RNA is filed under the name uncultured bacterium. Its description in RNAcentral is "partial 16S ribosomal RNA". It matches the Rfam family "Bacterial small subunit ribosomal RNA", at positions 509 to 809 of the family's 1533-position model. The record is from RNAcentral.
CAGUCGCCACGGGAAUACGUAGGGUGCAAGCGUUAAUCGGAAUUACUGGGCGUAAAGCGUGCGCAGGCGGUUAUAUAAGUCAGAUGUGAAAUCCCCGGGCUCAACCUGGGAACUGCAUUUGAGACUGUAUGGCUAGAGUGUGUCAGAGGGGGGUAGAAUUCCACGUGUAGCAGUGAAAUACGUAGAGAUGUGGAGGAAUACCGAUGGCGAAGGCAGCCCCCUGGGACGAGACUGACGCUCAUGCACGAAAGCGUGGGGAGCAAACAGGAUUAGAUACCCCCGUAGUCCCUGUCUCUUAUAA